UACGGAGGGUGCAAGCGUUAUCCGGAUUCACUGGGUUUAAAGGGUGCGUAGGUGGGUUGGUAAGUCCGUGGUGAAAUCUCCGAGCUUAACUCGGAAACUGCCGUGGAUACUAUCAAUCUUGAAUACUGUGGAGGUAAGCGGAAUAUGUCAUGUAGCGGUGAAAUGCUUAGAUAUGACAUAGAACACCAAUUGCGAAGGCAGCUCACUACACAAUCAUUGACUCUGAGGCACGAAAGCGUGGGGAUCAAACAGG
RNAcentral lists this ribosomal RNA (253 nucleotides) under uncultured bacterium. RNAcentral describes it as "partial 16S ribosomal RNA". It matches the Rfam family "Bacterial small subunit ribosomal RNA", at positions 524 to 776 of the family's 1533-position model. The record is from RNAcentral.